RNAcentral lists this long non-coding RNA (1152 nucleotides) under Gossypium barbadense (sea-island cotton). Its description in RNAcentral is "long non-coding RNA (GBAR_LNC001880)". The record is from RNAcentral. Lineage: Eukaryota; Viridiplantae; Streptophyta; Magnoliopsida; Malvales; Malvaceae.
CUAAUUUGAAUAGGGUGCGAAUGGGGAGGGACUGAUAUGGCAAAUAAUCCCUCACCGCAAAAACACGCGGGUCAUCUGGGCAGCAAACCGGAUCGGGUCGGGCGCAUAGGCUUGUGCGACGCCGUUUUGGGGCCACGGUAGUAAGCCUCAAACGACGUCGUCCCCCACAGGUAUAAAAAUCCCCUUUCAUGCCAGAUUUCCAAAGCUCCCAAACCUUAGCCCCUUUUCAUCAGCCACACCUCCAUUUUCUCCCUCAAAAAGCACCAGCCAGCCGCAAGGUGCGGUGACCGACGCCCAAGCUUUGAAGUAUGGCCCAUUUUAGCCACAGACCCCCUCCUAUCUCCGAUUGCAACGAAGUGAUAGGGGAUCGACGGCCUAGAAGCGAGGUAAGUCCUCUCUUUUUCCUUUUUCUUUUAUUUAGAUGUAAAGAACGAAAAAGAAAAUAAAAAAGGAGUAGAUCGAGAGAGAAAAAAAUGUAAUAAACUCGAGAUUCAAAGCAAAAAAUCACCUUACUCUGUUUUUUUUGCUUUUUAUUGCUUCUGUAUGUGUGUAACCCUACAACUGAUGAAAUCCCCUGGCUUUAUAGCCGAAUGGGGUAAAAAUAAAAAGAAAAAUAAAAAAAUACAAUGUUCUUCGUUGUUUUGUUUGUUUUGCUGUGCGUUUGUCUCUUUUCUGCAGGUACAGGGUGCGUGGCGCUCGGGUACGGGGCUGUGCUGGCGUGUGUACGGGAGCCAUGCUGGCGUACGGGGACUUGGCGUGGUUGCUGGAGGUGUUGUACAGCGCCUAGAGGUUGCAGGGGCUGCUGCGGCGCAAGUAGAAAGCUACUAGGGUUUAUCGGUUUAGACAUUGGGCUUAUUAGGCCUAUUUUGGGUCAAGUAUAGGUUUAGGUAAUGGGUCUGUAACUUGGGUCUUGGGUUUAAUACCGGGCCUAUGUAAUUGGACUUUAAGCAUUUAAUGGACUGUUAUAAUUUUAUUUAUUUUUAUUUUUGGUUUGUUUUUGUUUUUUUUGUUUUUAUAUGGGUCGGGCAAAUUUGGCCUACUACACUAAUCAUAACAAUGUAAACUUAAUGAUCUAACAGACAAUAUCACUAAGGGUGGGUUUGGAUGGGCGAUGGGAUGUAAUACGGUGCGUUUAGCUUACUUUACACUAAU